Non-coding RNA from Pedobacter ginsenosidimutans, 118 nucleotides. Lineage: Bacteria; Pseudomonadati; Bacteroidota; Sphingobacteriia; Sphingobacteriales; Sphingobacteriaceae. The record is from Rfam.
CAAUAAACCCAGUAGCAACGGAAAUCCUUUUUAUUGCUUAAGACCCAUCUCUCCUAUUAUUGCUGCUGGUAGCACAAAAUUUGCAAUAAAAAGAUUGGAGUGAAUAACGGGGCUGCAG